Molecule: ribosomal RNA, 659 nt
Filed under: Alcaligenes faecalis
Lineage: Bacteria; Pseudomonadati; Pseudomonadota; Betaproteobacteria; Burkholderiales; Alcaligenaceae
Description: bacterial SSU rRNA
Rfam family: Bacterial small subunit ribosomal RNA
Source: RNAcentral
UGCAGUCGAACGGCAGCGCGAGAGAGCUUGCUCUCUUGGCGGCGAGUGGCGGACGGGUGAGUAAUAUAUCGGAACGUGCCCAGUAGCGGGGGAUAACUACUCGAAAGAGUGGCUAAUACCGCAUACGCCCUACGGGGGAAAGGGGGGGAUCGCAAGACCUCUCACUAUUGGAGCGGCCGAUAUCGGAUUAGCUAGUUGGUGGGGUAAAGGCUCACCAAGGCAACGAUCCGUAGCUGGUUUGAGAGGACGACCAGCCACACUGGGACUGAGACACGGCCCAGACUCCUACGGGAGGCAGCAGAGGGGAAUUUUGGACAAUGGGGGAAACCCUGAUCCAGCCAUCCCGCGUGUAUGAUGAAGGCCUUCGGGUUGUAAAGUACUUUUGGCAGAGAAGAAAAGGUAUCCCCUAAUACGGGAUACUGCUGACGGUAUCUGCAGAAUAAGCACCGGCUAACUACGUGCCAGCAGCCGCGGUAAUACGUAGGGUGCAAGCGUUAAUCGGAAUUACUGGGCGUAAAGCGUGUGUAGGCGGUUCGGAAAGAAAGAUGUGAAAUCCCAGGGCUCAACCUUGGAACUGCAUUUUUUAACUGCCGAGCUAGAGUAUGUCAGAGGGGGGGUAUAAUUCCACGUGUAGCAGUGAAAUGCGUAGAUAUGUGGAG